GAUGAACGCUGGCGGCGUGCCUAAUACAUGCCAGUCGAGCGAACAGAUGAGGAGCUUGCUCCUCUGACGUUAGCGGCGGACGGGUGAGUAACACGUGGAUAACCUACCUAUAAGACUGGGAUAACUUCGGGAAACCGGAGCUAAUACCGGAUAAUAUAUUGAACCGCAUGGUUCAAUAGUGAAAGACGGUUUUGCUGUCACUUAUAGAUGGAUCCGCGCCGCAUUAGCUAGUUGGUAAGGUAACGGCUUACCAAGGCAACGAUGCGUAGCCGACCUGAGAGGGGGAUAGGCAAAACUGGAACUGAGAAACGGUACAGAAUCCAACGGGAGGCAGAAGUAGGGAAACUACAGAAUGGGCGAAAGCCUGACGGAGCAACGCCGCGUGAGUGAUGAAGGUCUUCGGAUCGUAAAACUCUGUUAUUAGGGAAGAAAAAAUGUGUAAGUAACUAUGCACGUCUUGACGGUACCUAAUCAGAAAGCCACGGCUAACUACGUG
Molecule: ribosomal RNA, 496 nt
Filed under: uncultured bacterium
Lineage: Bacteria
Description: partial 16S ribosomal RNA
Rfam family: Bacterial small subunit ribosomal RNA
Source: RNAcentral